GAUGAAGAACGUAGCGAAAUGCGAUAAGUAAUGUGAAUUGCAGAAUUCAGUGAAUCAUCGAAUCUUUGAACGCACAUUGCGCCCGCUAGUAUUCUGGCGGGCAUGCCUGUCCGAGCGUCAUUUCAACCCUCAAGCCCCCGGGCUUGGUGUUGGGGAUCGGCGAGCCUCCGCGCCCGCCGUCCCCUAAAUCUAGUGGCGGUCUCGCUGUAGCUUCCUCUGCGUAGUAGCACACCUCGCACUGGGAAACAGCGCGGCCACGCCGUUAAACCCCCAACGUCUGAACGUUUGACCUCGGAUCAGGUAGGAAUACCCGCUGAACUUAAGCAUAUCAAUAAGCGGAGGA
This 343-nucleotide unclassified non-coding RNA is filed under the name soil metagenome. RNAcentral describes it as "partial contains 5.8S ribosomal RNA, internal transcribed spacer 2, and large subunit ribosomal RNA". The stretch from base 1 to 120 matches the Rfam family "5.8S ribosomal RNA", at positions 35 to 154 of the family's 154-position model. The record is from RNAcentral.